This 200-nucleotide ribosomal RNA is filed under the name uncultured Enterobacter sp. RNAcentral's name for it is "partial 16S ribosomal RNA". It matches the Rfam family "Bacterial small subunit ribosomal RNA", at positions 335 to 524 of the family's 1533-position model. Lineage: Bacteria; Pseudomonadati; Pseudomonadota; Gammaproteobacteria; Enterobacterales; Enterobacteriaceae. The record is from RNAcentral.
ACUCCUACGGAGGCAGGCAGCAGUGGGGAAUAUUGCACAAUGGGCGCAAGCCUGAUGCAGCCAUGCCGCGUGUAUGAAGAAGGCCUUCGGGUUGUAAAGUACUUUCAGCGAGGAGGAAGGCAUUAAGGUUAAUAACCUUGGUGAUUGACGUUACUCGCAGAAGAAGCACCGGCUAACUCCGUGCCAGCAGCCGCGGUAAU